This 2513-nucleotide long non-coding RNA is filed under the name Nicotiana tabacum (common tobacco). Its description in RNAcentral is "long non-coding RNA (NTAB_LNC009010)". Lineage: Eukaryota; Viridiplantae; Streptophyta; Magnoliopsida; Solanales; Solanaceae. The record is from RNAcentral.
UAUUAUUCAGGAGAUUAUCAAUAAUAUGUCCUCUUCAAACAACUCUAAAUAUGAUAUGUUAUUGAAAAUUGACCUCCAAAAGGCUUUUGACAAGUUAGAAUGGGAUUUUAUUCAUAAAACUCUAGUUUUCUUUCACUUUCCUCCCAAAAUAACUAAGCUUAUUAUGCACUGUAUUUGCACUAGUAAUAUUGGUGUCCUUGUCAAUGGUACCAAGACAAAUUUUUUAGCCCAAGUAGAGGAAUCCGUCAAGGGGAUCCUGUCACGACCCAAUUUAGGAUUGUGACCGGCGCUUAGGAGCAAGUGCUCCCAAGUAAGCCUUAUCGGCAAUUUUACAGAAAAUCGGGCAGAGUUUCCCCUAUUUUUGGACCAUCCCAAAAAUUUUCCUGUCUCAAAUCAACAACCAAACAUCCUAAUAUCAUACCCAACAAUUGACAACUUGCCAAUUAACUAAUACAAGUCUCCACCAUAACUAAAUCACCAACUAACCACUAGAGACACUAAUCUAUCUCCAACUUUGAUAAUAAAGAACGAUACUCAGCAUAAGACUAUAAUAAAUAAAUAAUACUCAUGACACUAAAAGAAUGACUAUGGAGCGACUCUAAGAAUUUAAAGAAUAGAACAUAACAAUAAAUAAAAUCUCCGCCCACGCGAACAAGUGCGAGGCUCACCAAGAACUAUCAACCUGUGCGCUCUAAUUAACGAAAUCCUCGCCUGUGUCAACUGUUGUCUCUGAAAAAAAAAAUUAGCGAGGAAUGAGUCGCUAGCUCAGUGAGUAAUAACACUUAACUACAACCAUUUUUAUUGGGGACAAGUCAGAAAACAUGUUAGUAUCUCAAACAGAUAACAUCAAAAUGCCCUUUCAGAAACAAUAAAUAAUUUUCAGUCUCAUCAUGUUUUUUCUUGUAGUAUAAUACAAUUAAUAGUUCAGUAAUAAGCUCGAUAACCACUGUAUAAUAUCAAUAUUCACAUUUGGGAGGUUUCAAUGAACGGAUCAUGUAAUCGGUAUAAUAGUGGACUUCUUCGCAAGAAGUCAAAUAUAACGGUAGUCCCUACUCGAGGGAAGUCGGUAACGGUAUGCUAGUUCUACUUUCCCACUAGCGAGGGCUAUAACGGUAAUCUGUAAUUACAAUGUGCACCAGGUCUAACGAACCCGCCGUUAGCUAUGGAAUCCUUCAAUGUCUACUCCCAUUUAUACUUGUCUCUGUAAUCCGUAUAUACUCGUAGAAAAUAUUUUAAAAUAAUAUAGGGCAUUUCGAUUUUUAUCAAAUCAUGUAAUUUCGUUUCAAUAACAGUAAAUCUUAUCUCAAGUAACAGUAAAACGUAUUCAGUAACAAUGAGAAUAUUCAGAAUAACUGUAAUCGUCUAAAAUAAAUAUAGUAGUAUCAUAUCGAGUAAAGGACUUGUCCCACAUGCAGAUUCAAAUCAGUCGGUAACAUGCUCAUAUUAAAAUCAUAUGUAAAUCAUGCUAGUUGUAGAAAUACAAAUUGAGGUAAGGUUACUACUCACAGUACUCGUGCCGAAAUACCAAAUACUUCACCUCGUGCGAUUCGUACGAAUUCCUCCAAUUAAUCUAUAAUUACAUAAUAUCGAUCCCAUGUUAAUUUCCUCAUUUAGGCUAAAUCCAUCACAAAUGUAGAAUACCCAAAUCCUCCGAGUUUUAUAUUUCAUCAUCAAUUCGUCGGAUGUAUUUUAAUUACUUAAUUCACCUAACCUCAUUAUUCUAUUCACUGUCAAUCAUCUCAUUAUUACAAUUUAUUUGCUAAUCCUUAGUAUCCAAAUUUACAACCAGCAACAGUAGAGACAACGUGGAUUUCUGAUGCAUUCUUAAGGCCCAAAACUUAAAUCAUUAUUGCACGAUCAUAUGCCUUCCUCUUUAUUACCCAAUCACUAGGUGGCCAUUAUAUCUUAAAUUAAAGAGAUAAAAUUAUAGUAGCAAAAACUUUAUUUCAAAACAGACUACUCCAACCUUGGAAUUUCAUAUAAUUUUUGUUAAACCAUUAACUAAUUAGUUAUUAUAAUAAUUAGUAAGUUAUUUUUUCCCCCCAAUCAUUACCUAAUAAUUGUAAUACAUAAAUAAUAAUCAACAUCCCAAUUACAUAAACAAAUCACGUAUUGCGAGUUUCCAAUUUAAGUUGGCAGUGACUUUUCGUUCAACUGCUGAAAGUUGAGACUAAGAACUUUUAAAAUUUUCAAUUCCCAAUCAGCGAAAUCGCUACCCUUUAAUUAUUAAUGACAACUUGCUCCAACUUAAAUGCACAUACAAACGAAAGGAUAUUGAUAUUAAUAUACCUGAUUGCUUUGAUUUCUCUACCAAAGUUUCCGCACAGUGCCAAUUUUUCAAAGUAAAUUAACUGAUACUUUUCUGGUGUAGUGCCAACGUCUGCUCACCCUCCUUGUAACUUUUUCUAUCUUGAAACCAGGAAGUUAAUUCUUUUUCUUAUCUACUCCCUAGGUCAAAUCUGAUAGUUGCGUAAAUGGGUUUGGCCCAACUUUUUUUUUUGUUUUGUUUUUUG